This 295-nucleotide ribosomal RNA is filed under the name uncultured Streptococcus sp. RNAcentral's name for it is "partial 16S ribosomal RNA". It matches the Rfam family "Bacterial small subunit ribosomal RNA", at positions 1084 to 1382 of the family's 1533-position model. Lineage: Bacteria; Bacillati; Bacillota; Bacilli; Lactobacillales; Streptococcaceae. The record is from RNAcentral.
GUCCCGCAACGAGCGCAACCCUAUUGUUAGUUGCCAUCAUUCAGUUUGGGCACUCUAGCGAGACUGCCGGUAAUAACCGGAGAAGGUGGGGAUGACGUCAAAUCAUCAUGCCCCUUAUGACCUGGGCUACACACGUGCUACAAUGGUUGGUACAACGAGUUGCGAGUCGGUGACGGCGAGCUAAUCUCUUAAAGCCAAUCUCAGUUCGGAUUGUAGGCUGCAACUCGCCUACAUGAAGUCGGAAUCGCUAGUAGUCGCGGAUCAGCACGCCGCGGUGAAUACGUUCCCGGGCCUU